AAAGGGAGCGUAGGCGGUUUGAAACGUUUGGUGUGAAAGUCCUGGGCUUAACCUGGGGACGGCAUUGAAAACGGUCAGACUAGAGGUAUAGAGGGGAAUAUGGAAUUGCGUGUGUAGAGGUGAAAUUCGUAGAUAUACGCAAGAACACCGAUGGCGAAGGCAGUAUUCUGGCUAUAACCUGACGCUAAGGCUCGAAAGCGUGGGGAGCAAACAGGAUUAGAUACCCGAGU
Molecule: ribosomal RNA, 230 nt
Filed under: uncultured bacterium
Lineage: Bacteria
Description: partial 16S ribosomal RNA
Rfam family: Bacterial small subunit ribosomal RNA
Source: RNAcentral